UAUACAAAGGUAUUGAAAUAAGAUUUUAAAUGAGUGCUAAGAGRAUGAUUGAACAAUUAUAGGCUUUCUUUAGUUAAAUAAUUAAAUUUAAUUUUUUUASUGCAAAAGCAAAAAUUAAAYUUAGGGACAAGAAGACCCUAUGAAUUUUAAUUUAAUUUAUAAUUUGAAAUUUUAWAUUAAAUUYGAUUGGGGCGAUGGAAAMAGAAUGAGUAUCUUUUUUAGUUYUAAAAAUUGGUUCCGUUUWWAACGAUUAAAUGAGAAAAAUACUCUAGGGAUAACAGCCGUAAUAA
RNAcentral lists this ribosomal RNA (290 nucleotides) under Ixodes persulcatus (taiga tick). RNAcentral's name for it is "partial large subunit ribosomal RNA". Lineage: Eukaryota; Metazoa; Arthropoda; Arachnida; Ixodida; Ixodidae. The record is from RNAcentral.